RNAcentral lists this ribosomal RNA (489 nucleotides) under uncultured bacterium. RNAcentral's name for it is "partial 16S ribosomal RNA". It matches the Rfam family "Bacterial small subunit ribosomal RNA", at positions 28 to 507 of the family's 1533-position model. The record is from RNAcentral.
GACGAACGCUGGCGGCGUGCUUAACACAUGCAAGUCGAACGGAAAGGCCCCCAUCUUGGUGGGGGUGCUCGAGUGGCGAACGGGUGAGUAACACGUGGGUGAUCUGCCCUGUACUUCGGGAUAAGCUUGGGAAACUGGGUCUAAUACCGGAUAGGACCAUGGUUUAGUGUCUCAUGGUGGAAAGAUUAUUGUUUUGGUGCAGGAUGAGCUCGCGGCCUAUCAGCUUGUUGGUGGGGUAAUGGCCUACCAAGGCGUCGACGGGUAGCCGGCCUGAGAGAGUGGACGGCCACAUUGGGACUGAGAUACGGCCCAGACUCCUACGGGAGGCAGCAGUGGGGAAUAUUGCGCAAUGGGCGCAAGCCUGAUGCAGCGACGCCGCGUGGGGGAUGACGGCCUUCGGGUUGUAAACUCCUUUCGUUAGGGACGAAGCCGCACUUUUUUUGGGUGUGGUGACGGUACCUUUGUUAAGAAGCACCGGCUAACUACGUG